Molecule: ribosomal RNA, 497 nt
Filed under: uncultured bacterium
Lineage: Bacteria
Description: partial 16S ribosomal RNA
Rfam family: Bacterial small subunit ribosomal RNA
Source: RNAcentral
GAUGAACGCUGGCGGCGUGCCUAAUACAUGCAAGUCGAGCGAACAGACGAGGAGCUUGCUCCUCUGACGUUAGCGGCGGACGGGUGAGUAACACGUGGAUAACCUACCUAUAAGACUGGGAUAACUUCGGGAAACCGGAGCUAAUACCGGAUAAUAUAUUGAACCGCAUGGUUCAAUAGUGAAUGACGGUUUUGCUGUCACUUAUAGAUGGAUCCGCGCCGCAUUAGCUAGUUGGUAAGGUAACGGCUUACCAAGGCAACGAUGCGUAGCCGACCUGAGAGGGUGAUCGGCCACACUGGAACUGGGACACGGGCCAGACUCCUACGGGAAGAAGCAGUAGGGAAUCGUGCGCGAUGGGCGAAAGCUUGACGGAGCAACGCCGCAUGGGUGAUGGAGGUCUUCGGAUCGUAAAACUCUGUUAUUAGGGAAGAACAAAUGUGUAAGUAACUAUGCACGUCUUGACGGUACCUAAUCAGAAAGCCACGGCUAACUACGUG